UCGAGUUGAUCUGAUCGGCAGUGUGAACCUAGCUUCAUAUACGUUCGUUACUAAGUCUUAAUGAUCGGGAAUGGUCGGUAUUGGUCAGCCAAGUACUCUUGAUAGUUAGAUGCAUUCGUGUUGUUCGUAAUACUCAGCCGAUUUUCUCUAGUUGGCUUACAAUCGCGACUAUCAAAUUCGGAACAAUGUCAGACAUCGGUUCACUGUCUGAUAUUCUUUGAUCGAACUCGAGAGAAGAGACAGAUUAAUUCAUUUUUUUUUAUCAUGCAAUACUUACAAAUCAGAAUAGAAUCGGAUUCAAACGGGAGUGAUUGGGACGCAGACGUUUUACAAUAUCUUAUUGUUGUCUUGAUUAAAUAAAAUGUUUUUACAAACUUAAAGCCAUGAAUCGCCGGAUCUUUUCCGAACUUUGACAAAUUUUAUUAAAGCACAAACACUGAUUUCAAAUUGAAAUACACACUUACCGGUUUUCAUCCAACUAAAUCAUCACGAACAUGAGGUUAAAAAAAUAAUGACCUAAUUUCAAACAUCAAAUCUCAAGAAACGUGUAAAACUAAG
This 558-nucleotide long non-coding RNA is filed under the name Mytilus galloprovincialis (Mediterranean mussel). The record is from RNAcentral. Lineage: Eukaryota; Metazoa; Mollusca; Bivalvia; Mytilida; Mytilidae.